AUACGAUCCAAAAUUGAACAUUCAAAACCAGGCCCUUAAUUUCAGUUUUUUAAAAUUUAAACUUCAACUAAAAGGUCAUCUUUUUCGUUGUGUUCUUGUUGGAUUCAUCACUUGCGUUCUCUUCUGGUUGAAGAAGCUUGAAAAAUAAAAGAACAGAGAGGUAGGGUUUUCUGAGGUUUAAGAAAUGGCAGCAGAAUCAUCAGAGGGCGAAGAAGAAACGAAGUUGAGCGGAGGAAUCCAAUUGUUGACGGUAGACGAUGACUUAACGGAGAUGGGGAAAAAGGCCGCUUGGAGUGUCAGUUCUUGCAAACCCGGUAACGGUGUUUCCUCUCUCCGUGACGAUAAUCUCGAAACCUAUUGGCAAUCCGACGGAGCGCAACCCCAUUUGGUUAACAUUCAGUUUCAGAAGAAAGUGAGGCUUCAACUAAUUGUGCUGUACGUGGAUUUCAAGUUGGACGAGAGUUACACGCCGAGCAAAGUUUCCAUCCGUGCCGGUGAUGGGUUUCACAACUUGAAGGAGAUUAAGACCGUGGAACUUGUGAAGCCAACUGGGUGGGUCUAUCUAUCGUUGUCUGGAGUUGAUCCUAGGGAUACCUUUGUGAACACUUUCAUGUUGCAAAUUGCUGUGUUGUCAAACCAUCUCAAUGGAAGAGAUACUCAUGUGCGGCAAAUCAAAGUUUAUGGGCCUCGACCGAAUCCUAUUCCACACCAACCAUUUCAAUUUACUUCAAGGGAGUUCAUCACGUACUCUUCUAUAAGAUGAGUUUACGGAAAGAGCUAAUGAAGAAACCUUACUUUAAAUCAAAGGAUGGCAAGAAUCGACUCGAGCUAUGAAGCUUUCCCCAAAAGUUCAAGAACAAGUUGAGAUUCAACAACGACACUUUGCAAGAACCUUUGUCGAACAAUCCUCUUCGUGAGCCUUGGGACCGCUGCAAUACGGUGGUUCUCUCAUUGGCUUCAACGAUUGGUGCAUGAAUCGAUUCUCAAAUCCAUUAUCUGAAUCGACAUCGCCUUUGACAUAUGGCAAUACCUUUCUCACCGUUUUCAUCAAGGAGACAUUUUUCUCGUUGUUGACUUACAAGAAUCAUAUAAAUUGAACCAAGAAUACUUCCAGGAAGUUGAUUGGUUCAACUAGCCUGCACCAUCACCGUUAAGUUCCCACUGUUUCUGCUCAUACAACUUUCCAAAGAUGUGUCUCUUGGCAUCUUAGAUUAGGUCAUGUUUCUAAUUCC
Molecule: RNA transcript, 1232 nt
Organism: Vigna radiata var. radiata (mung bean)
Lineage: Eukaryota; Viridiplantae; Streptophyta; Magnoliopsida; Fabales; Fabaceae
Gene name: anaphase-promoting complex subunit 10
Exons: 8
Source: RefSeq, a predicted model, not a curated record